GACGUAGGGGGCCAGCGUUGUUCGGAAUUACUGGGUCUAAAGGGUUCGUAGGCGGUGUGGCAAGUCGGGAGUGAAAUUUCUGGGCUCAACUCAGAGACUGCUUCCGAAACUGCUGUGCUGGAGUGUGGGAGAGGCGCGUGGAAUUGCAGGUGUAGCGGUGAAAUGCGUAGAUAUAGGAAGGAAUACCAGUGGCGAAGGCGGCCUCCUGGACCAACACUGACACUGAGGAGCGAAAGCCAGGGGAGCAAACGGG
Molecule: ribosomal RNA, 253 nt
Filed under: uncultured prokaryote
Description: partial 16S ribosomal RNA
Rfam family: Bacterial small subunit ribosomal RNA
Source: RNAcentral